CAGGACGGGUACAGCACAGGCAGCAACAGUGCGAGCUUUCCCCACACCACCCCGUCCAUGUGCCUCAACCCUGACCUGGAGGGACCACCUCUAGA
Unclassified non-coding RNA from Cercocebus atys (sooty mangabey), 95 nucleotides. The record is from Ensembl. NCBI's taxonomy places the organism in Eukaryota, Metazoa, Chordata, Mammalia, Primates, Cercopithecidae.